This 28-nucleotide non-coding RNA is filed under the name Homo sapiens (human). The record is from RNAcentral. Lineage: Eukaryota; Metazoa; Chordata; Mammalia; Primates; Hominidae.
UGCCUGGAGAAGUUCCCUGUGAUCCAGC